GACGAACGCUGGCGGCGUGCUUAACACAUGCAAGUCGAGCGGUAAGGCCCCUCCGGGGGCACACGAGCGGCGAACGGGUGAGUAACACGUGAGCAACCUGCCCCUGACUCCGGGACAAGCGGUGGAAACGCCGUCUAAUACCGGAUACGACCCUCCGACUCAUGCCGCGGGGGUGGAAAGUUCUUUCGGUGGGGGAUGGGUUCGCUGCCUAUCAGCUUGUUGGUGGGGUAAAGGCCUACCAAGGCGAUUACGGGUAGCCGGCCUGAGAGGGCGACCGGCCACACUGGGACUGAGACACGGCCCAGACUCCUGCGGGAGGCAGCAGUGGGGAAUCUUGCGCAAUGGGCGAAAGCCUGACGCAGCGACGCCGCGUGGGGGAUGACGGCCUUCGGGUUGUAAACUCCUUUUACCACUCACGCAGGCCCGGAGUGUUCUUCGGGUUGACGGUAGGUGGGGAAUAAGGACCGGCUAACUACGUGCCAGCCGCCGCGGUAA
This 495-nucleotide ribosomal RNA is filed under the name uncultured bacterium. RNAcentral's name for it is "partial 16S ribosomal RNA". It matches the Rfam family "Bacterial small subunit ribosomal RNA", at positions 28 to 523 of the family's 1533-position model. The record is from RNAcentral.